GUGGGGCAUAGUGCAGUGGCAGCACACUGCCAUGCAAAGGCAGAAGCGCAGGUUCGACUCCUUGCUACCUCACG
Molecule: transfer RNA, 74 nt
Filed under: Ktedonospora formicarum
Lineage: Bacteria; Bacillati; Chloroflexota; Ktedonobacteria; Ktedonobacterales; Ktedonobacteraceae
Description: tRNA-Cys
Rfam family: tRNA
About the family: Transfer RNA (tRNA) molecules are approximately 80 nucleotides in length. Their secondary structure includes four short double-helical elements and three loops (D, anti-codon, and T loops).
Source: RNAcentral